Molecule: ribosomal RNA, 253 nt
Filed under: uncultured bacterium
Lineage: Bacteria
Description: partial 16S ribosomal RNA
Rfam family: Bacterial small subunit ribosomal RNA
Source: RNAcentral
UACGGAGGGCGCAAGCGUUGUUCGGAAUCACUGGGCGUAAAGCGCGUGUAGGCGGCUCUGCAAGUCGGGCGUGAAAUCCCGAGGCUCAACCUCGGAACUGCACUCGAUACUGCUUGGCUCGAGUCCCGGAGAGGGCGGCGGAAUUCCCGGUGUAGGGGUGAAAUCCGUAGAUAUCGGGAGGAACACCAGUGGCGAAGGCGGGCACCUGGACGGUGACUGACGCUGAGACGCGAAAGCGUGGGGAGCAAACAGG